UUUCCGAUAGCUCAAUGGUAGAGCAUAUGGCUGUUAACCAUAUUAGUUGUAGGUUCGAGUCCUAUUCGGAAAG
This 73-nucleotide transfer RNA is filed under the name Eucheuma denticulatum. RNAcentral describes it as "tRNA-Asn". It matches the Rfam family "tRNA". Rfam says of the family: Transfer RNA (tRNA) molecules are approximately 80 nucleotides in length. Their secondary structure includes four short double-helical elements and three loops (D, anti-codon, and T loops). Further hydrogen bonds mediate the characteristic L-shaped molecular structure. tRNAs have two regions of fundamental functional importance: the anti-codon, which is responsible for specific mRNA codon recognition, and the 3' end, to which the tRNAs corresponding amino acid is attached (by aminoacyl-tRNA synthetases). tRNAs cope with the degeneracy of the genetic code in two manners: having more than one tRNA (with a specific anti-codon) for a particular amino acid; and 'wobble' base-pairing, i.e. permitting non-standard base-pairing at the 3rd anti-codon position. The record is from RNAcentral. Lineage: Eukaryota; Rhodophyta; Florideophyceae; Gigartinales; Solieriaceae.